GCUUACGACCACACCGGCCUGAGUACGCCUGAUCUCGUCUGAUCUCGGAAGCUAAGCAGGGUCGGCCUGGUUAGUACUUGGAUGGGAGACCGCCUGGGAAUACGGUGCUGCUGUAGGGA
Molecule: ribosomal RNA, 119 nt
Filed under: Oncorhynchus kisutch (coho salmon)
Lineage: Eukaryota; Metazoa; Chordata; Actinopteri; Salmoniformes; Salmonidae
Source: RNAcentral